Dendronephthya gigantea is the source of this 438-nucleotide long non-coding RNA. RefSeq lists it as uncharacterized. Lineage: Eukaryota; Metazoa; Cnidaria; Anthozoa; Malacalcyonacea; Nephtheidae. The record is from RefSeq and is a predicted model, not a curated record. The transcript has 3 exons.
CCACAAGUCUUUGAUCGCGGGGUGCAAGUUAUUAUUUCCAACGAAGUGAAUAUAGUAAACGUCGAUAGGGUAAGAUGAAGACUGCUUUGUUUGUUUUGCUGAUAAUUCAACUGAUUACAGUGCCAACGAUGUCUCGCAAUCUGUUUUCAAAUGAUUAUCUUGCGGCACGGCGUUGUCCAACCAAAGCUUGCGAUGUUGAAAAAAAGAACUGUUUCCUGGUAUGCCAUGAUUGUGAAGAAUAUCCUACCAUGUAUAAAGAUUGUUACGGAUGCCAAAGGUGUAAAAACGAAAAGCAGCUAGCGAUCAGACUCUAGUGUAUGCAUUAAGUGACCAAGAAGCAAGUGUCCGGAACUAUAUAUCUUACUUAUAAAACGUAUGAUGAUGGUUACUUAUAACCAUGUAAACAAAGUAUAAUCAAGAUAAAAAUAAAUAAUGGUA